RNAcentral lists this ribosomal RNA (460 nucleotides) under uncultured bacterium. Its description in RNAcentral is "partial 16S ribosomal RNA". It matches the Rfam family "Bacterial small subunit ribosomal RNA", at positions 338 to 795 of the family's 1533-position model. The record is from RNAcentral.
CCUACGGGUGGCAGCAGUGAGGAAUAUUGGUCAAUGGACGCAAGUCUGAACCAGCCAUGCCGCGUGCAGGAUGACGGCUCUAUGAGUUGUAAACUGCUUUUGUACGAGGGUAAACCCCGAUACGUGUAUCGGGUUGAAAGUAUCGUACGAAUAAGGAUCGGCUAACUCCGUGCCAGCAGCCGCGGUAAUACGGAGGAUCCGAGCGUUAUCCGGAUUUAUUGGGUGUAAAGGGUGCGUAGGCGGUUUGAUAAGUUAGAGGUGAAAUGUCGGGGCUCAACCCCGAAACUGCCUCUAAUACUGUUGGACUAGAGAAUAGUUGCGGUAGGCGGAAUGUAUGGUGUAGCGGUGAAAUGCUUAGAGAUCAUACAGAACUCCGAUUGCGAAGGCAGCUUACUAAACUGCCACUGACAUUGAUGCUCGAAAGUGUGGGUAUCAAACAGGAUUAGAUACCCCAGUAGUC